UACGUAAGUGACAAGCGUUAUUCGGAUUUACUGGGCGUAAAGGGAGUGUAGGCGGAUAAUUAAGUCGGGGGUGAAAGACCCGGGCUCAACCUGGGUGCUGCAUUCGAUACUGAUUAUCUAGAGUGCGGGAGAGGAGAGUGGAAUUCCUAGUGUAGAGGUGAAAUGCGUAGAUAUUAGGAAGAACACCAGUGGCGAAGGCGGCUCUCUGGACCGUAACUGACGCUGAGGCUCGAAAGCGUGGGGAGCAAACAGG
Molecule: ribosomal RNA, 253 nt
Filed under: uncultured bacterium
Lineage: Bacteria
Description: partial 16S ribosomal RNA
Rfam family: Bacterial small subunit ribosomal RNA
Source: RNAcentral